This 433-nucleotide ribosomal RNA is filed under the name Thraustochytriidae sp. Its description in RNAcentral is "SSU rRNA". It matches the Rfam family "Eukaryotic small subunit ribosomal RNA", at positions 994 to 1449 of the family's 1831-position model. The record is from RNAcentral. Lineage: Eukaryota; Bigyra; Thraustochytrida; Thraustochytriidae.
GGGAUCGAAGAUGAUUAGAUACCAUCGUAGUCUUAACCAUAAACUAUGCCGACUGAGGAUUCUUGAAAUUUGUAAUUGAAUUUAAGAGCACUCCAUGAGAAAUCAAAGUCUUUGGGUUCCGGGGGGAGUAUGGUCGCAAGACUGAAACUUAAAGGAAUUGACGGAAGGGCACACCAGGAGUGGAGCCUGCGGCUUAAUUUGACUCAACACGGGGAAACUUACCAGGUCCAGACAAAGUAAGGAUUGACAGAUUGAGAGCUCUUUCUUGAUUCUUUGGGUGGUGGUGCAUGGCCGUUCUUAGUUGGUGGAGUGAUUUGUCUGGUUAAUUCCGAUAACGAACGAGACCCCAACCUGCUAACUAGACUGCGUUAUCUUCUCGAUAGCUCAGCGCUUCUUAGAGGGACAUUUCGGAUUUACCGGAAGGAAGUUUGAG